Molecule: non-coding RNA, 72 nt
Organism: Desmophyllum pertusum
Lineage: Eukaryota; Metazoa; Cnidaria; Anthozoa; Scleractinia; Caryophylliidae
Source: the annotation of a GenBank genome assembly
UCUCCUGUAGCUUAGUGGUAGAGCAUUCAAAUGGGAUUCGGAAGGUCAUAGGUUCAACUCCUGAAGGGAGAA